UUGUCUUGUAAUUGGAAUGAUGGUGACCUAAACCCUCACCAGAGUAACAAUUGGAGGGCAAGUCUGGUGCCAGCAGCCGCGGUAAUUCCAGCUCCAAUAGCGUAUAUUAAACUUGUUGCAGUUAAAAAGCUCGUAGUUGAAUUUCUGCGUUAUCGAGUUAUUGACUCUUGUCUUUAAUCGAUUUCGCUUUUGGGAUUUAUCCCUUUUUACUUUGAGAAAAUUAGAGUGUUUCAAGCAGACUUUUGUCUUGAAUACUUCAGCAUGGAAUAAUAGAGUAGGACUUUGGUUCUAUUUUGUUGGUUUUUGAACCUUAGUAAUGGUUAAUA
Molecule: ribosomal RNA, 326 nt
Filed under: Babesia venatorum (nom. ined.)
Lineage: Eukaryota; Apicomplexa; Aconoidasida; Piroplasmida; Babesiidae
Description: SSU rRNA
Rfam family: Eukaryotic small subunit ribosomal RNA
Source: RNAcentral